AGGCUUGGUUGUCUGACAGAGACAACUCCAUGAUUUCCCUCUGGAUUCAGCCACGGCAGAUCCACCUGCCUUACGUGACCACUUCUACAUCUACUGUACAUAGGCAACCCCCCUCUUUCAGGCUUCUCCCCAUCCUCUGCGUACAACAAUCAACGUCAACCUCCUGAUCCUCUCAUGCUGGGAUUACAAACUUGCGUAUACCCUCCAUUGAUUUAACCAGAAAUGUACUGCCAGUCAUGAGGUCGUCCGAAGCACAGAGGACGUGGUAGAAAGGACGAAGGGUUGCUAUUUAGAUGUCUGUGGCGGCAGCAUCCCAGUAGUGAAUACAUUUUUCUUCAUCCACUGGGGACGAAGGGGCUAAUGGAGCAUGAGAGUGGCAGUUCCCCCGGAGUUGUGUAGCUGAGUCACGCCCCCGUUUGGAGAGGAGCCGCGGGCUGCAGUUGUGUGUGACCAUGACCAUGAGGGCAUGCUGUGAGAGUCUGGGCCAAUUCAGGGGUAAACAUUGGAGGCAGUAAUUGGAGAACAACACAGCAGGGAAUUUCGUACAUUUGUGAUCCAUGUGGCUCAGUCAAGAAUAUCCUGACUGUGGACUCUUUGAGAUGAAAAGAGUGUGCAUGCUAAAGGUCUUCACACUGCCUGUGUGAAAUCUGAACUCCUACGUCACCUCAUCCAAAUAUGUUUUAUAGGUCAAAAUCUCACUCACUAAAUAAUCGCUCUCUGGCUCAGGAGAUUGGGAUGGAAACCCUGAGUAACAUUAAAAACAUGGGUUGUACUUUUGAAUACAGAUGGAUACAAAGCUUCUUUGCUGCUUACACCAAGCUGUUGCUGUCUAUUACUUGUUCUAUUUAGCAGAGCUCCAGUCAAUCUAUACUAUUAGUUAUCCAUUACAUGUGUUAAAGGAAGUCCUUCUUUAUCCAUCCAUCUGUCCUUCUCAGUUUGUGUUACUUCUUUGUCCUCGGUUUGUAAAGGCAGCAAUGUCCUCUAUGUAGUUCUUUAAAAUAAAACAGGACUCCCUACGAUA
Long non-coding RNA from Notolabrus celidotus (New Zealand spotty), 1021 nucleotides. RefSeq lists it as uncharacterized. The transcript has 2 exons. The record is from RefSeq and is a predicted model, not a curated record. NCBI's taxonomy places the organism in Eukaryota, Metazoa, Chordata, Actinopteri, Labriformes, Labridae.